UCUAGAACUUAAGAUAUGAGUUGAGCACUGAACAAUAUCUGGGUUACAAGAUAGAUUCAGACUUCUUUUUUAUUGCUAAAAUUUGAACUUCAAAAUGAUAAUAUUGAAUAUUGGACUCUUCAUAAAUGUUUUAGGUCUAUAUCUUAGCUUUCCAUC
This is a non-coding RNA of Populus trichocarpa (black cottonwood), 156 nucleotides long. The record is from Rfam. NCBI's taxonomy places the organism in Eukaryota, Viridiplantae, Streptophyta, Magnoliopsida, Malpighiales, Salicaceae.